GAUGACCCUGUAGGUCGGUGAGGGGCAGGGGAGGAUUGUGGGGACAACACGGCACAGUGAGGGAUGGCGCGGGACCGCGAGGGACGGUUAGGAAUGGCUGGAACAGUGCUGGACGUUAUGGGACUGUGAGAGACAGUGAGGGUGGGUCUGUGCAGGACACAGUGGGACAGUGCAGGACAAUGAGGGACGGCGAGGGGCAGUGAGAGACAGAGGGGCAGCCAGGACUCCUUGUUGAGAGCAGGGCCACCAGGGGAGGGCAAGGGCUCUUCUGACCACAUAUUGGAAAAGGAGCCCUGUCCUGGUGCUGCUGACCUUUUCAGGCCGCCCACCACUUCUAGGGGCAGCCCCUGCUGGGUCCUGGAGGCCCUGGUUCUUCUCCUGUUUACCUGUUAGACCCAAGCUGGCCUGGAUAUCUCCUGGCACCGGGCAGCCGUGCGAUGCCCCAGGACAGACCACGAACAAGCCUGUAGGAGGAGGUUUCUGGGGGCACCCGUGAUGCAACUUGGGCUUAUAGUUUAACCGUAAAAUAAAUAAUACAAAUGAUAACAAACCAAGAGUGGCUAAAGUAAGAAAAAAAGCAAACAAACGGAAACCCUCCAGUAUUAACGAGAACAGAUUUCCUAAAUGGUACUUUAUGGAGUAGAGGCCAAAGACUGCUACUGACCUCUUUGGUCUCCAUAGAGCCCUUCUUGCACUUCAGCAAUAAUGCCUGAUAGUUAUACGUUUAGCACAACCUAAUUGAGGUUGUUUAACAUAUGGAAUGAGAUUCUGGCCUCAUUAUCAAGUUAACUAUUAACUUUGCACCCCGUGAAAUGAUUUGCCUUUUCUCCAACAUUGUUUACUUAAAUCCUUUUAAAUUUAAUUCAAAGGCCUCAUUUUGAAUUCAAGGCCUUAAGCACCAAAUUAAAAAUGAAAAACUGAAGUAUCCCUUUGCCCCCUUUCACUUGCAAGGACAGUUAUCCUGUUCUUUCAACGGUACCUUCUGGCCUAGAGGGCUGUGGGGUCAUUUUCAUGUCCAGGCUAUUUAUCAAUAUUGGAGUUAUCCUGUCUUCCCUAUAUUCUUACUUAUUGUAUUCAUUUAGUAUUAUAGGAAUUAGUCACAAAGAAUUGCUGAUUUUCUUACCAACUUAACUAGGUUUUUUUGGUUUACAGAAAAUCUAUCCAGAUUCCAUCUCCACCUCCCUGUUUUAUGUUCACCACUACCCAUAUGCUGUUAGCAGUGUGAAAAAAAAAAAAAAAGAUCCGCCUGAGAACUUGCCCAGAACAUCUUUUCAGACCUCACAGUACAGCAUUUACUGAACGUGGACCUAGAUGAGCUCCAGUUUCAUUCAAAAGGAACCCUAGUUACGCUCUUUCAAGUCACCACAAUACAGCUGUAAUUUGUGCUUUGGCCUUAUUGGCAUGCUUUUACAUUCCCCUAUUCAUAAAACAGUGAUAAUCACCAGAGCAACCAUCAAACACACUCCUUCUUUAGAGAAAGAAGAUCAACAGGAUACUUACUAUAUAGUGGUGAUCUGUAUGAUGUGCUAAUGUUUUGGUAAAUCAUCAAAAAUCACAAAAUCAUAUGAGUAACACACGAUUCAUUGAUUUCUCUUCUGAUCUAUUUUAAUCUUGGAAAAUAAACAUUUGAUUUAUUCAUUUUUGGGGAAAAACAGUUAUAGCUGCUAGUUAACUGAAUUUGGUUCAUAAUUUUGUUCAUAUAAUAAGUCUUUCUCAGCUGUGAAGGAUUACAUGAGAAAAGUUAUGCUCCACAAAUCUUUUAUCUAGUAGUCUACUUACUAUUUUAUAAUAACAUUGAUAUGUCAGUAGUAUCAUAGAAUGUUUGGGGAAGAGUCUGAAAGGAAAAUGUGAAGCAACGUGAAGUAAUUCUAUCAUAUUAUGUUUAGCAAGUGACCACUCAUUAGAGAUUUAGGAAAUUAGAUCACUGAACCUAAGUUUUGAGUAAUGUAUUUAAAAAAAUAUAUAUUUCUCAGAGUUGAUUUAAUUUUGAGGCCAUUUCUCACGGAAUGGACACUGUUUUAAUAGAGCAUGACAUCUAAAACAUUAGACUCAACAUCAUAUUGACCCAGAUAGUCGUUGUGCGGGCAAUCCCUUUUCAGCAAAAGAAUUGCUAUCCCUGGAGUGAGAAAAAGCUUGAAGCUCUGUCUCAGGAUCCUGAGAACCAUACUGUUGUCCUGAGGACAUUACUCCUUUCUGUCCUCACCAGGAAAUUCCACAAGUCGUGUAUGUAUAGAGAUGCUGGGCAGACCUUAUCAAAUGUACAACUUAUAUCCACGUUUUGAUAUUGGAAUCCUGUAGAAGAGUAUGCACAUUUUGGUGUUUGUCUUUCUCGGCUGUGAAGGAUUACAUGAGAAAACUUAUGCAUUUCUCCUUGUUCAUAAAGACAUAUUUUAAAACAAGAUCCUUUUUGCAUUACCCUUUUAGUCCCAGAGCUUUUAUUUCUAUCUAUACAUGAUAUAAAUGUAUAAUAUGCACUUUUUUUUUACUAGUCUGUAAGCAAGCAUGCAAUAAAAAUCUACACGCCCAAUGGAAGAAAUGUAUUUUUUAUAGGCUGUUUGUUUAGUGUACUGCAUUGUUUUGAAAACAAUCGUGUGUGUGUGUGUGUGUGUGUGUAUAAUCUCCAAUAAAUUGUGGAUUACUUUCGAAUGGAUGUGCUGGUAAGAGCCCACCAUUCAUCUGUGAGUGCCACAUCACAACAGAGUCUCCCAUUGAGCUUUUCCCUUAGCAACUAUUUGAAUAGUAGCAAUACUCCAUUUUUCCCUUCCUUUCUACUUGGUAUAUGUAGCCUGUGAGAAGACGGAUGGGCUACUUGCAAUUUAUUAGUCUGUGUUUUAGAUGUCAGAGGCAGGGCUUAACUAACUUUUGUUUAGUAUAGGUUUUGGACAGUCUAUCUAGUUGUUUAGUUUUAAUUGAGUCACCCUUCAGAUACCUAAUGUUGCUUUAAUAAAUAUUUGAUGCUUUUGACGGAUGUUUUUCUAAUUCCAUCCCACCUCUGGAAUCAGUAACUGUUAGAAUUUUUUUAGUAUCCUGUGGAUCAAUUUAAUUUAGAUACAUAGUCGAUGUUUUCAAGAUAAUUUUUUUUUUCAAGCAGAAAUUUGACUUUACCUUCUGAUUUAAAUAUUUAGACAUUUUGUCCCAAGUAAAUGCUGUAUUUCCUAUUAGCUGGCCAGUAGGGUGUGCUCUAGUCCCUUGCCAAAUUAAUUAAUUAAAAUUAUUAAUGCAAACUUUUGAUUAAGAGAUUUCAGAAAUAUGUUUCACUUGUUCAUUGCCAGCAACACAGGGGAGGUGUGUUUAUAUAGAUACCAGUGCAGAUGCAUACACACCAUAUACAGAGAGAAUGGUUACAUCAAAAAAAGAGAAGGCUCCGAGAUGCCAACCUCUUCAGCUUAGUCCUAAAAUAACUUGGUAUUGUUUUACCAAAUUUGUCUCUUGGCAACAGGCAUUUAUUUUGCCCUGGACAAUGAAGAAUAGGAAGAGGUUGCCAUGAUGAAUAGCUCCUGCUCUCAGUAUUUCCUCUUCAGAGCCAUAAAACCUUAAGACAAAAAAACAACAACAACAACAACAACACAAGGUCUCUGUAAUAGUGCAGUAUCCGUCACCUGCAGUCCUCAGGAGAGGCGCUAAGGGCAGGAAAGCCUUCUUUUCAGCUGUGAAAGCCAGCCAGCAAGUACUAAAUCUAGCACUUUAUGAUAGUACGUGGCACUGUUGUUGACCAUCUUGGCCAUAGGUGCAAGCCUAAAUGAUGGAAGAGAAGACUUGGGUGAAUACAAACAGCUGAUGUGAAAACACAAAGGAAGAUUCAUUAGAUCAAGGAUCCAGAUUCUACGACCUUAAAAAUCUUUGAGAAUCAGACCCUGAGCUCCUCUAAACUCAGAACAUAAUCAUAAACACAGAAAGCUUUAUAUACAAGGACCUUUGAGGCAGUGUUAUUCAAAAUAGUGAAAAACUGGCUUGUUACUAGGGCAAGUAUCCAAGUAAAAUAUGGAAUAUCUAUGCGUAGGCUCGUGAUGAUUUUAUAAACAGGAAAAUGUGCUCAUGAGAUUCUGUAAUUAGGAAUAGUAGCUAGUAACCGCUAACACUUUUACAGCAUUUACUAAGAACCAGGCACUGUAUGAGGCUGUACGUAAAUUAGUUUAACUUCACCAUGUUGCAAGCACAUGCUGUUGUCACACCCUGGUCACAAGGAAGGCGGAGGUUGCUCAUGCACCCAGGGUCACUGUGGAUUCCUGCCGCAGCAAUGCCAGCUUUCUUUCAACCAUGGCAGGUUCCUCCCUUAUCCUGUCUUGUGAAAAAAAAAAAAAAAGAAGAAGAAGAACAGAAAAUUGAAUUUGGGUCAUCAUCUAUCCUCAUGUUAUCAGGUACAAUUUUUUUUUUUAAUUUGCUAGUGGCAGAAACCCAACUCAAAUUUAUAAAUAAAAACAAGGAAUUCCAUGGAAUAGUACCAGAAAAAUCUAGGGGUGUAGCUGCAAAGACCACUUUAUCAGGGUGUUCAAAUGAGAUCCUGUCCAGGCCAGGACUUUCUCCAAGAUUCAGCUUUGUUCUCUUGUGUUGACUUCAUUUUGAGGCUCCAGUGAACCCCAGGGCCAUUCAAUUUAAGUUAAAAAGAGCUUAUUUGUGUUUAAAUAAAGCCUUUGGUCUGAUUCUCACUAGUCCAAACUGAAGGCCAGGGGAGUGCAGUCCUGAGCACCAGCCCCCACUGUGGAAUGGUGGGCAGACUCAGCCCAUCUAAGGAGACUAGGGCAGAAGAGGAGAAAUCCUUUCCUGGAGUAGAACCGGAGGACGCACCAGGCAGGAGGGAAA
Molecule: long non-coding RNA, 4800 nt
Organism: Marmota monax (woodchuck)
Lineage: Eukaryota; Metazoa; Chordata; Mammalia; Rodentia; Sciuridae
Exons: 3
Source: RefSeq, a predicted model, not a curated record